RNAcentral lists this ribosomal RNA (252 nucleotides) under uncultured bacterium. RNAcentral describes it as "partial 16S ribosomal RNA". It matches the Rfam family "Bacterial small subunit ribosomal RNA", at positions 524 to 776 of the family's 1533-position model. The record is from RNAcentral.
UACGUAUGGAGCGAGCGUUGUCCGGAAUCAUUGGGCGUAAAGGGUACGUAGGCGGAUAAGCAAGUUAGAAGUGAAAUCCUAUAGCUCAACUAUAGUAAGCUUUUAAAACUGCUCAUCUUGAGGUAUGGAAGGGAAAGUGGAAUUCCUAGUGUAGCGGUGAAAUGCGCAGAUAUUAGGAGGAAUACCGGUGGCGAAGGCGACUUGCUGGACUUCAACUGACGCUGAGGAACGAAAGCGUGGGUAGCAAACAGG